Molecule: transfer RNA, 70 nt
Filed under: Passer montanus (Eurasian tree sparrow)
Lineage: Eukaryota; Metazoa; Chordata; Aves; Passeriformes; Passeridae
Also listed under: 1 other name
Description: tRNA-Pro
Rfam family: tRNA
About the family: Transfer RNA (tRNA) molecules are approximately 80 nucleotides in length. Their secondary structure includes four short double-helical elements and three loops (D, anti-codon, and T loops).
Source: RNAcentral
CAGGGAGUAGUUUAAUUCAAAAUACCAGCUUUGGGAGUUGGUGAUGGAGGUUUGAAUCCUUUCUCCCUGA